This is a small RNA of Streptomyces sp. Root264, 293 nucleotides long. It matches the Rfam family "5' ureB small RNA". The record is from Rfam. Lineage: Bacteria; Bacillati; Actinomycetota; Actinomycetes; Kitasatosporales; Streptomycetaceae.
CGUCGGCGAUCUGCGGGCAGAUGAAGUGGACGUGCGCGUCGACCGCGCCGGCCGUCAGGAUCCGUCCGUUGCCGGCGAUCACCUCGGUCUCCGGGCCGAUGACCAGCUCCGGGUGGACGCCGUCCAUCGUGUCGGGAUUGCCGGCCUUGCCGAUGCCGGUGAUCCGCCCGUCCCGGAUGCCGACGUCGGCCUUCACCACACCCCAGUGGUCCACGAUGACCGCGCCCGUGACGACCGUGUCGGGGGUGCCCUCGGCGCGGGUGGCCCGCGACUGCCCCAUGGACUCACGGAUG